AGAGUUUGAUCAUGGCUCAGGAUGAACGCUGGCGGCGUGCUUAACACAUGCAAGUCGAACGAAGCAUUCCAACUCUCGGAGGAAGAAAUGACUGAGUGGCGGACGGGUGAGUAACGCGUGGGUAACCUGCCUUAUACAGGGGGAUAACAGUUAGAAAUGACUGCUAAUACCGCAUAACCCGCUAGUACCGCAUGGUACAGACGGAAAAGAUUUAUCGGUAUAAGAUGGACCCGCGUCUGAUUAGCUAGUUGGUGAGGUAAUGGCUCACCAAGGCGACGAUCAGUAGCCGGCUUGAGAGAGUGAACGGCCACAUUGGGACUGAGACACGGCCCAAACUCCUACGGGAGGCAGCAGUGGGGAAUAUUGCACAAUGGGGGAAACCCUGAUGCAGCAACGCCGCGUGAAGGAAGAAGUAUUUCGGUAUGUAAACUUCUAUCAGCAGGAAAGAAAAUGACGGUACCUGACUAAGAAGCCCCGGCUAACUACGUGCCAGCCGCAGC
RNAcentral lists this ribosomal RNA (500 nucleotides) under uncultured bacterium. Its description in RNAcentral is "bacterial SSU rRNA". It matches the Rfam family "Bacterial small subunit ribosomal RNA", at positions 8 to 518 of the family's 1533-position model. The record is from RNAcentral.